GAGACCAAUUUGGCCUGGGGAGAACCGCCUUCAGGCGUUUGGACUCAGUGGAGGUUGUGAGUGCCCAGCAGUGUGGCCUGAAUCUCCGUGGGGUUUAGGGAGACGAAAGGACCCCAGAUCGACGUCCCCUCGUUCCCACUUUGGGGAUCGGCGCUCUGGCUGUUUCGUGAAGGAGAGAGAGGUUGAUUCCAUACCCUGGCUAUUGUGAAUAAUGCUGCAGUGAACAUGGGAGUACAUACAUCUGUUUGAGGAACUCAGAGUGGUUUUCCAGAUGGGAAUCACAUUGCUCUCUGUCCCUGAGAUCUUGCUGGAGACAGGGCUACUCAGUCCCUCUUUGCCAGGUAAUCUGUUCCAGAAGAAACAUGUGUCGUUCUGACUGAGCCCCUGCCUGUCUGUCACCUUAAGAGCCAGUCAAUUCAUAUGGUCCCCAUAUCAAAGUCUCCUGUGCCCAGAGAGAGGAUUUCAUUUCAACCAUCACCAUCACCACCAUCAUCAUCAUCACCAAGAGAUGUUGUUGAAUUGAUACUGGAAAAGCAGUUUCUAUUGAGCCCCCAAAUGAAGAGUGAGUGCAGAUGAAGAGGAGGCAGGACUCACAAGCCCUUGAACUUUAUUCCAGAUCUGUUAGCACCUACAGGACCCUGCACCAGGAUUUCAUCUGUACUAUCAGCUUCUUCAAAGAGAGAGAGGUUGUUGAAUUGAUAUUGGAAAAGCAGUUUCCCAUUGAGUCUCAAAUGAAGAGAGUGCAGAUGAAGAGGAGGUAGGAGUCACAAGCCCUUGACCCUCAUGCUAGACCCAUUACCACCCACAGGACCUUGCAGUGGGAUUUCAUCUGCACCAUCAGCUUCUUCAGAGAGAGAG
Molecule: long non-coding RNA, 858 nt
Filed under: Homo sapiens (human)
Lineage: Eukaryota; Metazoa; Chordata; Mammalia; Primates; Hominidae
Description: non-protein coding LINC00630:53
Source: RNAcentral